GGAAGGAUCAUUAUUGAAAGCACUUGCGAGGCUGUUGCUGGCGCUCUUUUGGAACGCAUGUGCACGCCGAGCACUUGAUUUUAUCCUCUUGUGAACCUGUGUAGGCGAAUUGGACUCGAAUCAGAUCACUGAAAUAUGUGGAGGGGAGUUUGCUCCAUUCGAGCUUUCUCUGUGUUUAGAGUCUCAUUUGUUUACGUUUCUUAUAAACUUAAACCCUGAUAUAUGAACCUGUUAUUUGGUCAUUGUACCAGUAACUAAUUAAUACAACUAUUGGCAACGGAUCUCUUGGCUCACGCAUCGAUGAAGAACGCAGCGAAAUGCGAUAAGUAAUGUGAAUUGCAGAUUUCAGUGAAUCAUCGAAUCUUUGAACGCACCUUGCACCUUUUGGUUAUUCCGAAAGGUAUGCCUGUUUGAGUGUCAUUUUAUUUCUCACAUCGAACUCAAUUUGCUUUGAGGUUCGAAAGUGGAUGUUGGGGGUUGCGGGACUCUUUUAGUUAAGAGAUCGGCUCUCCUGAAAUGCAUUAGUUGACUUUAUCGUAGUUCAAGUGCAUCAGACGUGAUAAUUGUCAUCGUUUGAGUUAUGUCUUGGACAUUAAAUCGAAGUCAGCUUUCUAACUGUCUCUUGACUUGAGACUACUCUUCGGAGUACUAUAAUGACUAUUGUGACCUCAAAUCAGGUAGGACUACCCGCUGAACUUAAGCAUAUCAAUAAGCGGAGGAAAAGAAACUAACAAGGAUUCCCCUAGUAACUGCGAGUGAAGCGGGAUAAGCUCAAAUUUGAAAUCUGGCUGUCUUAUGGCAGUCCGAGUUGUAAUCUAGAGAAGCGUUAUCCUCUUAGGACCGUGCAUAAGUGUUCUGGAAAGGACUAUCGUAGAGGGUGAAAAUCCCGUCUUUGGCACGGACUACCUUGGAAUUGUGAUGCGCUCUCAACGAGUCGAGUUGUUUGGGAAUGCAGCUCAAAAUGGGUGGUAAAUUCCAUCUAAAGCUAAAUAUUGGCGUGAGACCGAUAGCGAACAAGUACCGUGAGGGAAAGAUGAAAAGAACUUUGGAAAGAGAGUUAAACAGUACGUGAAAUUGCCAAUAGGGAAACGGUUGCAGUCAGUCGCGUUUGCUAGGGAUCAGCCUUGAAUUCGUUCUUGGUGCACUUCCUAGUCGACGGGUCAGCAUCAGUUUCGAGAGCUGGAUAAAGGCUAGAGGAAUGUGGCUCUUUCGGGAGUGUUAUAGCCUCUGGUUGUAUACAGCGAUUGGGACUGAGGAACUCAGCUUGCGCCUUCGGGUGUGGGGCUUCGGCUACCUUCAAGCUUAGGAUGCUGGCAUAAUGGCUUUAACCGACCCGUCUUGAAACACGGACCAAGGAGUCUAACAUGCGUGCGAGUCUUUGGGUGUCAAACCCGCAGGCGUAAUGAAAGUGAAAGGUUGAGAAUCCUGUCGUGGGAUGCAUCAACGCCCGGCUCAGAGCUUCUGUGACGAUGCUGCGGUAGAGCAUGUAUGUUGGGACCCGAAAGAUGGUGAACUAUGCCUGAAUAGGGUGAAGCCAGAGGAAACUCUGGUGGAGGCUCGUAGCGAUUCUGACGUGCAAAUCGAUCGUCGAAUUUGGGUAUAGGGGCGAAAGACUAAUCGAACCAUCUAGUAGCUGGUUCCCGC
Molecule: unclassified non-coding RNA, 1644 nt
Filed under: uncultured fungus
Lineage: Eukaryota; Fungi
Description: sequence contains 18S rRNA gene, ITS1, 5.8S rRNA gene, ITS2, 28S rRNA gene
Rfam family: Eukaryotic large subunit ribosomal RNA (bases 664-1644)
Source: RNAcentral